Molecule: long non-coding RNA, 842 nt
Filed under: Helianthus annuus (common sunflower)
Lineage: Eukaryota; Viridiplantae; Streptophyta; Magnoliopsida; Asterales; Asteraceae
Source: RNAcentral
UUAGUUCGUAACCGACAAAAGAAAAGAAAAGGGUAUAAGUUUAGAAUGACUAUACAGCUAUCACCUUCCCAAACUUUUUCAAAUCGUCGACCAAAAAAAAAUUAGGAACUAUUCCUUUUGCAUCCUUAAUCAACAAAUCAAUUUACAUCAUUUCCAAACUAAUGAGAUCAACCCCAAUAUUAAUCAAAGCCAACCUUAGUCAACCUCUCCUUGCCCUCAUUCUUGAUCCUUGUCCAUUCAAAAAGAAAAACAAUCCACCAAACUCACCUCCGGAAGAGAGAGCUCCGACAAGACAAAAGCGCGACUAGACGGUUCCCCGAAGUAGGCUAACGCUAGUCGCCAUAUUCGAAUCAACGCCAUUUGAAUCUCGCAGCCGAUCCUAUUCAGCCCCUUUCCUGAGCCGCGACAACUACCAACGCAACACCGAAACGAAACCCCGCUGACUCCGUAUUGUAUCUUGGUCAACACAAGUCUGUUAAUUUGAUUGGAUAUAUGUGUACUGCCUUGCUAGUUCACUUAUCGGAAAAAGACUGCCUUGCUAGUUCACUUAUCGGAAAAAGGUAAUCCGGGGAAUGUUGGGAACUAGUGAUGAGGAGAGUAAAAUGCGGUUCAAGAAUAAAGACUUUUAUUUAUAAGUAUUUUGAAUUAACUAAUACUUAGGAUUCUUGGUUUGUUUUCGAAACCUUUGGUUGUCUUUUGGAUCCUACGUUUCAUCUUUAAACGGAUUGUGUUUGGUUUUUGAUAUCUGUAAUAGUGACACGUCAGCCCUAUUCGGGUCGGGGUGUUACAGUAUAUAUAUUAUGCGACUACUUUAUACGGGUCGUAUAUAGCUAUACGGCUCA